RNAcentral lists this ribosomal RNA (253 nucleotides) under uncultured bacterium. Its description in RNAcentral is "partial 16S ribosomal RNA". It matches the Rfam family "Bacterial small subunit ribosomal RNA", at positions 524 to 776 of the family's 1533-position model. The record is from RNAcentral.
UACGUAGGGGGCAAGCGUUGUCCGGAAUUAUUGGGCGUAAAGAGCGUGUAGGCGGUCCGAUAAGUCGGCUGUGAAAGUCCAGGGCUCAACUCUGGAAUGCCGGCCGAUACUGUCGGACUAGAGUCCGGAAGAGGUGAGUGGAAUUCCCGGUGUAGAGGUGAAAUUCGUAGAUAUCGGGAGGAACACCGGUGGCGAAGGCGGCGACCUGGGUGGAUACUGACGCUGAGGCGCGAAAGCGUGGGGAGCAAACAGG